RNAcentral lists this long non-coding RNA (419 nucleotides) under Androctonus crassicauda. Lineage: Eukaryota; Metazoa; Arthropoda; Arachnida; Scorpiones; Buthidae. The record is from RNAcentral.
AAUAAUUGUUUGUUUGCUUAAACAGGCAAACGUUUUCGAUGUUUGUAGCGUCCUCUUCAGGUUUGCCAAGGCUUAAAACAAUCAAUCAAGUAGAAGAGAAUGACGAAACGGAGGCUGGAUACAUGAUGGUUCCUUACCACCUCGAAAACUUAAAACCGGUCCGAAAAGUAGUUAAGAAAAAUAAAAAGAAUAUGGUGAUUAAAAGGAACCCGACGGUUUAUAAUGUAUUGCGAAAUGAAAAAGGACCCACUACAAGAGUCUGAAAAAAGCGGCGUUUAUAAAGUCCCGGUAACAAACAAUGAAACUAAUGAAAAAUCUGCUUAUAUCGGAGUAACAACAAGAACAAUAAGUAAGAGAAUGACAGAGCAUAAAAGGGAUUAUAAGACUAGGGAAGCUUAGUACAGCCCUUGCAACAGAAG